Molecule: ribosomal RNA, 253 nt
Filed under: uncultured bacterium
Lineage: Bacteria
Description: partial 16S ribosomal RNA
Rfam family: Bacterial small subunit ribosomal RNA
Source: RNAcentral
UACGUAGGGGGCAAGCGUUGUCCGGAUUUAUUGGGCGUAAAGAGCGUGUAGGCGGCCAUACAGGUCCGUUGUGAAAACUGGAGGCUUAACCUCCAGACGUCGAUGGAAACCAUUUGGCUAGAGUCCGGAAGAGGAAAGUGGAAUUCCUGGUGUAGCGGUGAAAUGCGCAGAUAUCAGGAAGAACACCAAUGGCGAAAGCAGCUUUCUGGGACGGUACUGACGCUGAGACGCGAAAGCGUGGGGAGCGAACAGG